RNAcentral lists this ribosomal RNA (467 nucleotides) under uncultured bacterium. RNAcentral describes it as "bacterial SSU rRNA". It matches the Rfam family "Bacterial small subunit ribosomal RNA", at positions 30 to 486 of the family's 1533-position model. The record is from RNAcentral.
AUUGAACGCUGGCGGCAUGCCUUACACAUGCAAGUCGAACGGCAGCACGGGAGCAAUCCUGGUGGCGAGUGGCGAACGGGUGAGUAAUAUAUCGGAACGUGCCCAGUCGUGGGGGAUAACGCAGCGAAAGCUGUGCUAAUACCGCAUACGAUCUAUGGAUGAAAGCGGGGGAUCGCAAGACCUCGCGCGAUUGGAGCGGCCGAUAUCAGAUUAGCUAGUUGGUGGGGUAAAAGCCCACCAAGGCGACGAUCUGUAGCUGGUCUGAGAGGACGACCAGCCACACUGGAACUGAGACACGGUCCAGACUCCUACGGGAGGCAGCAGUGGGGAAUUUUGGACAAUGGGCGCAAGCCUGAUCCAGCAAUGCCGCGUGCAGGAUGAAGGCCUUCGGGUUGUAAACGUGCUUUUGUUACGGAGCGAAACGGGACUCUUCCUAAUAAAGAGAGCUAAUGACGGUACCGUAAGAA